AGAGAAGCGUCUGUAGAAGUGUUGAAUUGUAGCUUCAAUUAUGGGUGAUUCCCCUUCUUUA
Molecule: transfer RNA, 61 nt
Filed under: Lutraria maxima
Lineage: Eukaryota; Metazoa; Mollusca; Bivalvia; Venerida; Mactridae
Description: tRNA-Tyr
Source: RNAcentral